RNAcentral lists this ribosomal RNA (301 nucleotides) under uncultured bacterium. Its description in RNAcentral is "partial 16S ribosomal RNA". It matches the Rfam family "Bacterial small subunit ribosomal RNA", at positions 509 to 809 of the family's 1533-position model. The record is from RNAcentral.
CAGCCGCCGCGGUAAUACGAAGGGGGCUAGCGUUGCUCGGAAUUACUGGGCGUAAAGGGAGCGUAGGCGGGUCGUUUAGUCAGAGGUGAAAUCCCGGGGCUCAACCUCGGAACUGCCUUUGAUACUGGCGACCUUGAGGAUGGGAGAGGUAAGCGGAACUCCGAGUGUAGAGGUGAAAUUCGUAGAUAUUCGGAAGAACACCAGUGGCGAAGGCGGCUUACUGGCCCAUUACUGACGCUGAGGCUCGAAAGCGUGGGGAGCAAACAGGAUUAGAUACCCCUGUAGUCCCUGUCUCUUAUAU